UAGAAAUCAUACCACUGUUAAUCAGCCA
This 28-nucleotide non-coding RNA is filed under the name Homo sapiens (human). The record is from RNAcentral. Lineage: Eukaryota; Metazoa; Chordata; Mammalia; Primates; Hominidae.